Molecule: non-coding RNA, 863 nt
Organism: Triticum urartu
Lineage: Eukaryota; Viridiplantae; Streptophyta; Magnoliopsida; Poales; Poaceae
Source: RefSeq, a predicted model, not a curated record
UUCACCCUCCUUCUGUCGUGAACAUUCAUUUCCAAAUUGUUUACAUAUAUGGAAAGGAUGAGAUUUCACAUUUCAGACAAUUCUCCAGCAAAUGUAUUUUUGUGUCUUUUGUUUCAAAAUUAGACAUGAGUUUUGCAAUUUCACGGCUUAGACAGAUGAUUUGUACGAUAUGUUGUUUCAUUCGAAUGGCACGAGUGGUUGCACCAUGUAGGCAACUAGGCAUUCGACCUGAAACAAAGCUAGGAUAAUUUAUUGAGAUGUUAAUUGCCUUGGAGCUUCUGGCUUAACUUGAUCUCAGGCUGCACAACCCACACGUGGAAAAGCAUGUUAUACAACAUCUCAUUUUCUACUAAGGUUAGGAUCAUAACAACGAGGCACAACCCUUUAUGGCUUUUCAAUGACUAUAGCAGAAUGCAAUGUAUUUCUAAGAAUUGAAAAUAAAUUCGUUCAUGUGCUUAUUAUCUUGUCUGGGGUACAGAUACGCAGUAGGAAAGCAUUGACCUAUUACGCUUGAUCUGAAGUCAUCGGCUUUUGACCCAAAGGAGAAAGUAUGGACAAGGUUCCCACUGGAAGGCUCAGAAUACACCCCUCCACAGAGUUCUUGUGAUUUCAGAUGGAAAGAUUACUGCCUCCAAGUAUUCUGACAUUGCGCAGGUUGUUCAAGGUUGAUGCAACAGAUUGUAUGCUAUCCCUUUGUGGGGACCAGGCUCUCCGAGGGCUCUCAUCCCCUGGUAAGAGUGGAAGCUUCUUUUAUCUCACGAGCAAUUAUCAUUACAUGAGAAAGACGAUGAAGAAAUAGGGAAUAAAGGUACUAUGUUGCCUAUUCAGGGACCUCACCUUCAUGAGACUGGGGUAGAUGUUAG